RNAcentral lists this non-coding RNA (30 nucleotides) under Homo sapiens (human). The record is from RNAcentral. Lineage: Eukaryota; Metazoa; Chordata; Mammalia; Primates; Hominidae.
GCAGAAACCAGGGUCCCACGCAAACAGCCA